Long non-coding RNA from Manis pentadactyla (Chinese pangolin), 3848 nucleotides. RefSeq lists it as uncharacterized. Lineage: Eukaryota; Metazoa; Chordata; Mammalia; Pholidota; Manidae. The transcript has 5 exons. The record is from RefSeq and is a predicted model, not a curated record.
GGCUGCAGGGACCGGUUGGGUUCGGUUCCGCUCAGUUCUUCAAGCGCUGCUGCCUGGUGCUUUCCUUUGCCCGUAAGCAUUAGUGCAAAGUCCGGACGAACGCUCUGCACCGCGUUCGCGUCCUCAGUCCGCUGGCGCCGUGUGACCUUGGGCAGGUUGCAUAAUCUUACCUUCCCAGGUGGCUCAAAUGCAAAAUGGGAUGGUAAAAUCCAAAUUGGCGCCAAGCUGUAAGGCUCGUGCCACAGAGCAGGCUGUCAACAAACACCAUCUGUUUCCGCUCAUGGCACUGUUGACUCUGGAUAGAUUGAGAAGUAGCUUUAAAUGGUGACUAGGAUGUUGGCUGACAUCGCCACCCAGAUUCAGAGGACUCUGACAACUGUUUGCCUUAACAGCGUCUUCCCUGUCUCAUCAGAACCAAGGGUAGAGGAGCCUCAGAUUUCCUGAUGGAAGGUUCUCCAGGCUCCGCUGUUGAAGGAUAGAUGUGCUCUGCUCUCACUGAAGGAAGCUAACGAGAUAAUCUGCCCAGUGCAAGAGUGUCUCUGCCUUAAGAGGAGGGGGGAGCUUCCCAAAUGGCCUUUACCCCGGGCUGCUGCUUUGUCCCCUGUUUGGGAGGCCAGCGGCCUGGGCUCUGGCACACAACACUUAUCAGAAGCGAGAACCCAGGAUGCAGUGAUUAAGGAAGAUACUUUGUGUCUACUUCUCAUAAGCAGCCUUUUGAAACAGCUGAUGCUGUAGACACCCUAAUGCCUGAGCAUAGCGCAACUACAUUACUCUGCAUUCUUCACUCCUGUUGAAUUUAACGAGGGGAAGGCCAAAUGCACAUCAGCUUGUGCACUGCCCUCUUAACUCUGCGUUAGAGUGGCGUCUUCCCACGUGAGCAGCGUCCAGGACGCUCAUUAGGAAGAAUCCCAGGCCUCAGAUAUCCUGAAGCUGACUGCUGUGUGCACUAAAAUCUGUGAAGCCCUGCACUAACUUGUGGGGUAAUCUGGUGAUCGAAACUAUGUGGUGGCAUGGAAAAUUUAAGGAGAGACAAGCGGCACAGAGCCAGAAUCCGGGAAGGGGGUGGCAAAGCCGUGCUUUUCUGCGUUUGGGCACCGCCAGCAGGUUGAUGCGGAAGACAGAUGAAAAGUUCGUCACUGGGCAGCCUGGAUGAACGCGACUACGUGACCCACUUCUUAAAGCACAGAUGAGAUCACCUGUUUGACUGCAGCUGCUGGUGAGAGAGAUCCCACCAAAUGAGCGUGUCAGCAAUAUGAGACUCCUUUGAACGAGACAGGCCAGGCUGCUGGGGCCCUGUGAACGUGCCUUGCGUAUUCAGGGUAUUCUGGCACCCAGAGGGUGCUCCUUCCCUGUUCUUCCAAAGUCUGACAUUCCGGGCCUCUCCUGUCUGUACCCAACAGUGACGUUUUGUGUCUUCAUCCGGUUGAAGAGGCUGGCAUGCAAAGAACCUGGCCGAGUCCUUCCUAGAGCCCACGUUACACACGCCAGACCACGGCGAAGACUGAUGCCUCCAUCCCGGGCAUGCUCAUUCAAAUGCGCUCUAAUACUCCGUGAUGAUUCCAGGUUCUCCACAGAGUCACCCAUCAGCAGGUCCCGAGCAUGCAGAUAACUGAUAUACUUUUAAAUAUACAGCUAAGAAAGCAACCCUCAGCUUGUGGGCCCAGGCCCUUCGAAGUCUGUAAAUCUCUCCUUCCUAGAGACCCCCAUGACAAGACCUCACCCGGGAGAUUUCAAAGGCUGGCUCCCACCAAGUCUGCAAAUGACUUUUCUGUAGGCAGCAGUUGGAACAGCUCACAGCACCUAGUAAAACUUGUGCAUAUAUUUUCCUAAAAUAUCUAAAGCAAAAUUCUUAUGUUUCCCUCCACUACUAGACAUGGUGGUGUCUGUGUUAAAAUAGAGUAGCAGACAGACCCAUUUGCUGACUGUCUGAACGGGAGCUCUUGGUGAAUAAAGCUUAGCCUAAAAAAGAUAUUGUCCCAUUAUGUGUCUUUAUAAACGUGUCUGUCUGUCUGUCUGUCUGUGUGCACAAAUAUUCACUCCUAGAGAAGAAUACAUUUAGGGAAAAUGAUUUGCACCUGACUUGAGUACUGGCCAACUACAGAAAGGCUGUCACCUCAUCCAUGUAGGUCCCAUCUCUCCACAAAAUGUGGUCAGGUUUCCAGGGACAUUUCUUGCUUUGAAAAUUCUCCACAUGGCCUUUGAAUUGUGAGUGGUCUCUCUUGGGACAGACAGAUGAAAAUAAGGUUUAUUAAAGAAAGCUACAACAUUCUUACAUAACACGUUGUCAAACAGAGUGAAGAAAAAUCGUCUGUGACUAUUUCUGUGUGUGCAAAAUUUGUCACCCAUGAUUUUUUUUCUACUUCAUAUCUGGAUAUCAGCGUCAACCCAACAUUCUCUAUUUUUUUCUCCAGGUUUCCCCAGGGGAAAAAAUGCCCUUCCAGUAAAGGGGCUGUCAGAACGUCCUUGCUCUGGAAAGCCAUCCGUCAGGCUUUCUUUCAAACUUGUAGGAAGUGGCAGUAGAUUGAUGACCUCUGAUCUGCUGCGUGUCAGGAGGAAAUGUGGCGGGAAAAGGUGGUAACGUGGGACGCAGGAAGGAAGUGGAGGCCGUGGCCUCUGAGGGGCCGCUGGGGGCCCCGUAAGACAGGUCGGUCACACCUGGUAUCGAUUCUCAUCUUCCACCGCUCUUUCCCAUGAACAGGCUCUUCCACCAGCGUGGUCAGCUCCCUGGAGCCGGCUUUCUGGCCUCCGAGGCUGUUAGCGUCGCAUCCCAUGUACGCAGCGUGACUCCCACACCCCUACACCAGGCCCAAGCCCAGGGCCUCCUCACCACACAGGGUUUCAUGGUUGGCGGGACAUGGGCCCCUUCUUCAAUGAAAUUAAGAAAACGCGAGACUUCCUACAUUGAUAUUCAGUUCACAACCAAUAUGUCAACACACGGCCAGGUAGGUCCCUGUUACUCGUUUCUCAAAAUACACGUGGGUUACUUGGGCGCCUGUUUACCUAGACUCGAAGUAUCAUCUGAUGAUUUGACAUCUCAGUUCUAAGUAACUCUUCAUGGGAAUGCUAAGGCCAGAUACAGUAUGCCAGUAAAGCUCUGUCAUAAUCCCUUCCACAGGAUGAGAAGGGAGCCCAGGGAGGGAGCGGUUCUCAUUACAAAAGGAAUCUGUGGACCCUCUUCAAAGUCCACAGCCCUGGCAUGAGUUUGGGGAGCCUCUAUACCUCAUUUGAUAUCACAGUCAAGUGGGGCUAAUAUUUAUCUUCUUCAAGUUAUGCUCUCUGACAUGCUCCACAUACUCAUGUGUAAUCAGUAUUUGCAGCAUGCUUUAAGUUCCUAAGAUUCCCGCCCAAACCAGAUUUGUAGCAAAGGAUAGUUUGAAUACAGUGAGCUUUGGAGGACUCUGCAGUUUUACGUCUGGGGAACACUUCAAAGGCAAAGCUAAGAACACACAUGUCUACAGUGAUCAGAAAGCUCCCUCUGUGUCUCCUUUUAUAUCUAUUUGCUGGGGAUUUUGUGUACACAUUGUGACUCAUUCAUUUCCAAGGGUCUCAGAUCCUUAAAACUAGAAGGAUUGAAUGAGAUUUUAUCUUUAGUAUUGCUCCCAGUUUAUGUAUUCAUGACUUGAUUGGGAACAUUGAAAAAUUCUAAACUGAUUUGGAAUAUAAAGCAUUCAUUCUUAUCAGAUAAUACACCUCUCCUUCCAAACCCCAUGGUUUCAAGAACUAAUCUGAGUAUUUCAUCUUUUGCAGAAUAUUUAAAAAUGACAUACGACUUUAGCAAAUCCAAUAUGGUUGACAUUUGACACUGCUAUAAUACGAAGAUCUAAAGAUGCAUUUUUUUAAUUGUCCCA